GGCUAAGUUACUAAGGGCGUACGAUGGAUGCCUUGGUGCCAAAGGCCGAAGAAGGGCGCGGUUGACUGCGAAAAGCUGCGGGGAGUCGUCAGCAGAUUUUGAUCCGCAGGUGCCCGAAUGGGGAAACCCGGCGAGGGUGAUGCCUCGUCAACGCAUGCUGAAUUCAUAAGCAUGUGGAGGGAACCGCCCGAACUGAAUCAUCUUAGUAGGGCGAGGAAAAGAGAUUAUUCCCUGAGUAGUGGCGAGCGAAAGGGGAACAGCCCAAACUCACGCUGUGUGAUAGGUUGCAGCCGUUGCAGCGUGAGGGUUGGAGGCCGCAACAGAGCCCCCUGCAAGGGGUUCGGAGAGUUGGAGAAAAGCUGUGGUUAGUGGAAGGCCCUGGAACGGCCCGCCACAGAGGGUGAUAGCCCCGUACACGAAAACCACGGCUCUCUCGUUGCUGUGCCUGAGUACCACGGGACACGUGUAACCCUGUGGGAAGCUGGGGAGCCCACUUCCCAAGGCUAAACACCUUUGGCGACCGAUAGUGAACGAGUACCGUGAGGGAAAGGUGAAAAGAACCCCGGGAGGGGAGUGAAAUAGAACCUGAAAUCGUACGCUUACAAGCAGUCAGAGGGCUAUGCCGUCUUGCUGGGACACCGUUCCUGCGCAAGGCAUGUUCUUCGGAACGUGCGGCGCGCGGGGACGCUAAGCCCGCAUUAUAAGACGGAAUGCCUGAUGGCGUGCCUUUUGGAGAAUGAGCCGACGAGUUACUAUGCGUGGCAAGGCUAAGGUCGGAGGGCCGGAGCCGUAGCGAAAGCGAGUCCGAACAGGGCGACUAAGUCGCGUGGAGUAGACCCGAAACUGAGUGAGCUAGCCAUGGCCAGGGUGAAGAGAGAGUAAUAUCUCGUGGAAGCCCGCACCCACCAGAGUUACAAAUCUGGGGGAUGAGCUGUGGCUAGAGGUGAAAUGCCAAUCGAACUCAGAUAUAGCUGGUUCUCCCCGAAAUGCAUUGCGGUGCAGCCUCAGGUUAGAGUGUUGCGGAGGUAGAGCACUGGAUGGGCUAGGGGCCAAAACGGUUACCAAACCCAACCAAACUCCGAAUGCCGUAUACAUGUUACCUGGGAGUGGGACGGUGGGGGAUAAUCUUCAUCGUCAAAAGGGAAACAACCCAGACCCUCAGCUAAGGUCCCUAAAUUCAGACUAAGUGGGAAAGGAUGUCGGAUAGCCCGGACAGCCAGGAGGUUGGCUUGGAAGCAGCCACCCUUUAAAGAGUGCGUAACAGCUCACUGGUCAAGCCGUCUGGCGCCGAAAAUUCAACGGGGCUUAAGUCUGGUACCGAAGCUAGGGCAGUGGCGCUCCUUCGGGAGUUGUCACUGGGUAGGGGAGCGUUCCCUGGGCGGAGAAGCUCGACCGAAAGGACGGGUGGAGCGCAGGGAAGUGCGAAUGUCGGCAUGAGUAGCGUUAGCCGGUGAGAAUCCGGCUCACCGUAAGCCCAAGGUUUCCUCAGGAAGGUUCGUCCUCUGAGGGUUAGUCGGGCCUAAGCCGAG
Molecule: ribosomal RNA, 1529 nt
Filed under: Chloroflexota bacterium
Lineage: Bacteria; Bacillati; Chloroflexota
Description: partial 23S ribosomal RNA
Rfam family: Bacterial large subunit ribosomal RNA
Source: RNAcentral